Long non-coding RNA from Mus musculus (house mouse), 1328 nucleotides. RefSeq annotates it as RIKEN cDNA 4930412F09 gene. The record is from RefSeq and is marked validated. The transcript is spliced from 4 exons. NCBI's taxonomy places the organism in Eukaryota, Metazoa, Chordata, Mammalia, Rodentia, Muridae.
AGACUCUUAAAAGUCAUCCAGUCUGACUGGCCCCCUGGCUCUCACAUCCCAUCCAGAAUUUUCCUGUCAAGUGAUCCAGUUGUCUUAUACCUAAAAACAAAGCAACACCAACCUAAAAGACAGGCACACACAUUACUAACAAGCUCUGGAUCCUGUUAAAAGAGAACAUCAGUCACGAAGCACAGCUUUGAUCCACUGACUUCUUGAAACCUGAAAAGGGAGUGGGACAUCCAGGUGCAUUACUGACUCCUGAGCAUUUCUGCAGGUCCACAGACUCACUCCGUUUAAGUUUGGGAACUUAACUCGAGAGAUAUCCACUUUCUUUGAAGGCGAGGAGGAAGGAAGUUACAAUGCCUAAUUAUAAAGUAUUUUGAAGUUCUUGACUCUUCUCUUCCCACACUGGAGAUUGAGUCUAGGGACCUCACUUGCCAGACAAGUGUUCUACCACUGAGGUACAUCCCUAGUCCUCCAAGUUCAGACUAAAGGGUUUAAAAAUAUUCCCGAACCUACUGGGUAGAUUCAAUUAAGUUCACUUUGUCUAAAUAUCUUAAAGUCUAUGCCCUUUUGAUGUAUUCUCUUACUGUAUGUAUAUAACAGUUAAUACGAUUGCAUCAUCUUUAUUGUAGAACUUUACCAUUUGUGUGUGUGUGUGUGUGUGUGUGUGUGUGUGUGUGUGUGUGUGUGUGUUUACAAAGCUGCACAGGAUCUUAGGUUCUUCUGCAAGGUCAUAUAGUCAGCCUUGAACUAUAUGAAAAGCUCUUUCUUAUUCCAUCAAUACUCAUUUUGAGCAGUCCGGUGCUUUCUUUUUGGCAAGAAUCCUUUUGUUGCCACAUGAAAUACGGAUCCAACUCUGUUUUUGUUUUUGUUUUUGUUUCUGCAAACAGUCAACUAAAACAUACUUAAUAAAGCUCUACUCUGUGAUUCACAACAUCGAGGGUGCUAUGCACGACAAAGUUAGUAGAAAUUGGUGUUUACAGCUUAGCAAAGAAGACUUCCUACUUGGAAUUUUUCUUUGGGCCCAUGGCUAUUCACUGAGAACUGGACCAACUCACAGCUAGUAUUCAUCAAGGCCUAAAACCAGUGCCUCUAUGAUUCACCAUCUAUGAGGCUUCAAAAGUCAAUAAAUUAUUCUCUUCUUAGCACACACCGUGUGCCCAGACUCAAUCUUGAUCCUGUGUAAGAAACAAGAGAAGAUUAAUAAAUAGUAUUAUAGAUGUUGGAGUUAAGUAAAGUCUGAUGAUCCUUGCCCUUGAAAAAUUAAAUUUAUUUAACCAAUGAGGGCAGAGAAAGGGAAGUAAUUAUGAAACCUGAAACAUAAGAAGGAAAAA